RNAcentral lists this ribosomal RNA (233 nucleotides) under uncultured Planctomycetales bacterium. Its description in RNAcentral is "partial 16S ribosomal RNA". It matches the Rfam family "Bacterial small subunit ribosomal RNA", at positions 439 to 663 of the family's 1533-position model. Lineage: Bacteria; Pseudomonadati; Planctomycetota; Planctomycetia; Planctomycetales. The record is from RNAcentral.
GGAGUUAGGAAAUGUAGGAGUGUUAAUACCAUUUCUAUUUGACUAAGGCUCCAGAGGAAGCCACGGCUAACUCUGUGCCAGCAGCCGCGGUAAUACAGAGGUGGCAAGCGUUGUUCGGAAUUAUUGGGCGUAAAGAGCACGUAGGCGGACCUGCCAGUCAGAUGUGAGAGCCUUCCGCUCAACGGAAGAACGGCAGCUGAUACUACAGGGCUAGAGUACGGGAGGGGAGAGUG